RNAcentral lists this ribosomal RNA (456 nucleotides) under uncultured bacterium. RNAcentral describes it as "bacterial SSU rRNA". It matches the Rfam family "Bacterial small subunit ribosomal RNA", at positions 329 to 803 of the family's 1533-position model. The record is from RNAcentral.
GAGAUAACUCCUACGGGAGGCAGCAGUGGGGAAUUUUGGACAAUGGGGGCAACCCUGAUCCAGCAAUGCCGCGUGAGUGAUGAAGGCCUUAGGGUUGUAAAGCUCUUUUACCCGGGAUGAUAAUGACAGUACCGGGAGAAUAAGCCCCGGCUAACUCCGUGCCAGCAGCCGCGGUAAUACGGAGGGGGCUAGCGUUGUUCGGAAUUACUGGGCGUAAAGCGCGCGUAGGCGGCUUUGUAAGUCAGAGGUGAAAGCCUGGAGCUCAACUCCAGAACUGCCUUUGAGACUGCAUCGCUUGAAUCCGGGAGAGGUGAGUGGAAUUCCGAGUGUAGAGGUGAAAUUCGUAGAUAUUCGGAAGAACACCAGUGGCGAAGGCGGCUCACUGGACCGGUAUUGACGCUGAGGUGCGAAAGCGUGGGGAGCAAACAGGAUUAGAAACCCUUGUAGUCCUCCACU